GCGAUUCGACAUGAUCUGAUUUUUAAUUAUUUUCUUGUGUUUUUUAUUUGUUUUGUUGGGUGUUUUAUUGAAGUAUCAUUUUUGUUGUUGUAUCUUAUGGAUUUAAUUUUUGUUGCGAUAGUUGAUUUGUACUGUAGGGGGUUGUUUAUUUAUUUUUUUGGAAGUUGAUUUUGUUUGUUGUACCUUGUGUAUCAGGGUUCAUUGAAUUUUAUUAUUUAUUUUUUAUUUCCCGAUUCUAAAGGAGUUAGUGGUUUAUGCUAGUUGUUGUUUCAAUAAUAUUAGUGAUAGGUUGCUGGUAGUGAAAUGUUAUUCGUCUUUGGUGGUUUCUGGUUUUCCAAGAAAUGAAUUUAAUUCAUACGCUUUAUUUAGAUUUUAAUGUUGGUUUAUUUACCUUUAUUUGGCGUUAAGAUUAAGGGGGAUUAGCUCUUUAUUUUAUUUUUAUAAUUUUGUUUAUUUAUUUGAGUUUUGUGGAUUUUAUAGUGAUUUUCGGUUUGAUUAUGUUAAAAUUUUAUUUGCUUUCUUUUAGAUUUUUUUGUGAUUUGGUUUUUUAUUGGAAUGUUUUCUUUAUUUUGUUUUGUGUAGUAAUUAUUGUGGAAUUAGUAAAUUUUUAUUUCGUGUUGUUUAUUUGGGUGUUAAUUUCUUUUAAGGAAUUAGGCAAAUAUUUCAUGUCCGCCUGUUUAACAAAAACAUCUUUUCUUGUUAGUUUUUGAAGUAUGGCCUGCCCGCUGACGUGUUAGUUGAAGGGCCGCGGUAUUUUGACCGUGCAAAGGUAGCAUAAUCAUUAGUUCUUUAAUUGUGAUCUGGUAUGAAUGGCUUGACGAGGCAUGAGCUGUCUUGGAUAGGAUUUUGUUUAUUGAGUUUGGUUUCUGAGUUAAAAUUCUUAGAUGUUUUUAUGGGACGAGAAGACCCUAUAGAGUUUGACAUUUUUGUGUAGUUCUAGUGUUGUUUGUUUUUAAUGUUUUAUGUAUAUUUGUUUUGUUGGGGUGAUGGGAGGAAUUUUCUUAACUCCUCUUUUUCUUUGUUACAUUUGUGUGUGUUUAUUUUGAUCCAUUUAUUUUGAUUAUAAGAUUAAAUUACCUUAGGGAUAACAGCGUUAUCUUCCCUGAGAGUUCUUAUUGGCGGGGGGGUUUGCGACCUCGAUGUUGGAUUAAGGUUAAUUUUUGGUGUAGGAGCUGAAUUGAUUAGGUCUGUUCGACCUUUAAAACCUUACAUGAUCUGAGUUCAGACCGGCGUGAGCCAGGUUGGUUUCUAUCUAUAACUAUUUUUAUGCCUUAGUACGAGAGGACCGGGUAUUUGGAAUAAUUUUGUUUUUAUUGAUUAUUAUUAAUGAUUAUUGCUAUUUUGGCAGAUAAGUGCAUUGGAUUUAGAAUCUU
This 1373-nucleotide ribosomal RNA is filed under the name Microtermes sp. B TB-2017. RNAcentral describes it as "16S ribosomal RNA". The stretch from base 891 to 1258 matches the Rfam family "Bacterial large subunit ribosomal RNA", at positions 2073 to 2647 of the family's 2925-position model. The record is from RNAcentral. Lineage: Eukaryota; Metazoa; Arthropoda; Insecta; Blattodea; Termitidae.